AGACCCGGCUUUUUCGACGCCGAGCUGCCGCCCAGCCCCAAUGGCAGGGCCUUCCAGGGAGUCCCAGUCAGACUGCUCCCCAGCUCCCGCAGCUGCUCGGUCCCUGCAAAGCCCCCGGGAGCGUUUCUACUCUCCCCUGAGCCCACGCCAUCCCGUCACUCCUAGGAAACUUUUCGCGCAGAAACUCCUGGAGAACAGCCCCGGCCGCCAGGUACUCGCCCGCCCGGACCGCAAAGCCCACAGAGCUUCAAUUCGCAGGAAGGGGAGUGGGGAGCCCUGAGCUGGGGUGUUCCUGGAAGAGGUCGGGGAGCGGGGGGAGAGGCAUUCCAGGCUGGAGGCCUGGAAACGUUUGGAAGCUUUGCUAACCUUGGAGACCAUGUCAGGAAAGAAGCGUACCCAGGCCGUCUGCUGUGUGCCCACCCCGAUCCCCAUCAGUGCCCCACGCACUCGAGCUCUUCUUCGGCGUCUGCAGCCUCUUCAUCCGCGCGGAGAGGCGGAGGUCUCCCGGAAACAGUGUCCGACUGUGGCACCCCAGAGCGUCCAAUGCGAGCUCAGGCCUUUCCCGCAAGUCUGGAGUUUUCUUAUCCAGUUGAGGCCGCCUUCGCUGUACUCACUCUCUGCCUCCCACCCCAUCUUCUGCCACCCGACCUCCAUCUUUGAUGGUUAGCGCCUUCAGCCCUCAACAGCUUCGCACAACCAACCCCUAGAAGCCGUGGAGUCAGACCGGCCAGGGUGGGACCUAGGUUUUAACUCGGGUUCUGGCUACACACGCUGCGCCUCCAUACAGUUUGUCCCAGGUUUGGCAGCAGGCCGGCUACCUUCAGGAAUUCUUUGCUUUGGCUUCUGUCUGUUCCUGUCUGUUGGGCAAGUUUCUAGCUACCCCACUGAGAGAACCAUAGAACAAGGACCCUGGCAUGGCAUACAGA
This 926-nucleotide long non-coding RNA is filed under the name Homo sapiens (human). RNAcentral describes it as "HSALNT0303636". The record is from RNAcentral. Lineage: Eukaryota; Metazoa; Chordata; Mammalia; Primates; Hominidae.